GAGAAGGGGGUUUGUGUGAGAUUUGGGGUUUAUUUGGGGUUUGUUUGGGGUUUGAUCUGAGCCCGAGUACAGGAACGGCAGCAGCUCCCCGUGGAUGAAAUCCUUGGUCUG
Molecule: long non-coding RNA, 111 nt
Organism: Oenanthe melanoleuca
Lineage: Eukaryota; Metazoa; Chordata; Aves; Passeriformes; Muscicapidae
Exons: 2
Source: RefSeq, a predicted model, not a curated record